AUGCAGCAUCGGGCACCAGCGCCACCCAGGUCCCGCGUGGAUCCGCCCAGCCGCCCACACCCCUGCCUGGUGCCGGCGCAGAGUGGAAGAGGAGCACGACUACCCCUGCCUGGUGUUCUUCCUUCCGCCACCACUUGUGCAUCCUUGAGCACGCGCGGCCAGGGACUCCGGUGGGCGCGGCCAUGGCGCUCGCGGCGAGCACGGGCGACGCUCCUUGACGCGCAUGGCCAAGGUUUACCGGCGGGCGCCGCGAGCACGAGCGCGGCCGUGGCGCUCCACGACAGCGCGCGCGGCCAGGGACUCCGGUGGGCGCGGCCAUGGCGCUCACGGCGAGCACGGGCUACGCUCCUUGACGCGCGCGGCCAAGGUUUCCCGGCGGGCGCCGCGAGCACGAGCGCGGCCGUGGCGCUCCACGAUAGCGCGCGCGGCCAGGGACUCCGGUGGGCGCGGCCAUGGCGCUCGCGGCGAGCACGGGCGACGCUCCUUGACGCGCGCGGCCAAGGUUUCCCGGCGGGCGGCGCGACCACGGGCGCGGCCGUGGCGCUCCACGACGGCACGCGCGGCCAAAGGCCUUUCCGCGGACGCGACCAUGGCUUGACAGUGGUGCCCAGGUCGGAUGACCAUCGACUAGCGAGGGCGGCGAGCAGCGCCGGCGGCGUGCAUUGCAUAGGUAAGCGCCCAUUACCUGUUUGUUGA
RNAcentral lists this ribosomal RNA (696 nucleotides) under Triticum aestivum (bread wheat). Its description in RNAcentral is "partial small subunit ribosomal RNA". Lineage: Eukaryota; Viridiplantae; Streptophyta; Magnoliopsida; Poales; Poaceae. The record is from RNAcentral.